Non-coding RNA from Pelobates cultripes (western spadefoot toad), 217 nucleotides. Lineage: Eukaryota; Metazoa; Chordata; Amphibia; Anura; Pelobatidae. The record is from the annotation of a GenBank genome assembly.
CCGGAGCAAACGCAAUACAGGAACCAAACAUGUCGACAGGCGAUAAACGGCAUGAACUACCGCCAUAUUGUCAGUGAAGAAGACCACCCGUUUGUUCCGCUAAUCCUCGCCCCAUAGUGAUAAGGCAACCACCAACGGGAACAAUUCGAUAAAGGCCAGGUUCCUCAUCACCAAAUUUCCCAUCCAACUUACCGGCCACCAUGUCACACACCACCAC